RNAcentral lists this unclassified non-coding RNA (305 nucleotides) under uncultured fungus. Its description in RNAcentral is "sequence contains ITS1, 5.8S rRNA gene". The stretch from base 257 to 305 matches the Rfam family "5.8S ribosomal RNA", at positions 1 to 49 of the family's 154-position model. Lineage: Eukaryota; Fungi. The record is from RNAcentral.
UCUCCGUUGGUGAACCAGCGGAGGGAUCAUUGUUGGAACUGUGUCCUCACGGGCACAACCCCAGAUACCCUUUGUGAACUUAUACCCAUACAUCGUUGCCUCGGCGCUGAGCCCGGGAGCCGGCCUCCUCUUCUGGAGCCGUGCUCCCCCCGAGACCGCGCAAGCGGCCCUCUGGAGCAGGCCCGCCGGCGGCCCACCAAACUCUUUGUUUCUAGAACGUAUCUCUUCUGAGUUUUUAUAUAAACAAAUGAAUCAAAACUUUCAACAACGGAUCUCUUGGUUCUGGCAUCGAUGAAGAACGCAGC